RNAcentral lists this ribosomal RNA (909 nucleotides) under Oidiodendron tenuissimum. RNAcentral describes it as "LSU rRNA". It matches the Rfam family "Eukaryotic large subunit ribosomal RNA", at positions 38 to 964 of the family's 3401-position model. Lineage: Eukaryota; Fungi; Ascomycota; Leotiomycetes; Myxotrichaceae. The record is from RNAcentral.
GCAUAUCAAUAAGCGGAGGAAAAGAAACCAACAGGGAUUGCCUCAGUAACGGCGAAGUGAAGCGGCAACAGCUCAAAUUUGAAAUCUGGCCCCCUCGGGGUCCGAGUUGUAAUUUGGAGAAGAUGCUUCGGGUGCGGCCCCGGUCUAAGUUCCUUGGAACAGGACGUCACAGAGGGUGAGAAUCCCGUACGUGCCCGGUGGUCGCCCCCGUGUGAAGCUCUUUCGACGAGUCGAGUUGUUUGGGAAUGCAGCUCUAAAUGGGUGGUAUAUUUCAUCUAAAGCUAAAUAUUGGCCAGAGACCGAUAGCGCACAAGUAGAGUGAUCGAAAGAUGAAAAGCACUUUGGAAAGAGAGUUAAACAGUACGUGAAAUUGUUGAAAGGGAAGCGCUUGCAACCAGACUUGCGCGCGGCCGAUCAUCCGGUGUUCGCACCGGUGCACUCGACCGCGCGCAGGCCAGCAUCGGUUUGGGUGGCUGGACAAAGGCCUCGGGAAUGUGGCUCCCCUCGGGGAGUGUUAUAGCCCGAGGUGCAAUGCAGCCUACCCGGACCGAGGACCGCGCUUCGGCUAGGAUGCUGGCGUAAUGGUUGUAAGCGACCCGUCUUGAAACACGGACCAAGGAGUCUAACAUCUAUGCGAGUGUUUGGGUGUCAAACCCAUACGCGUAAUGAAAGUGAACGGAGGUGGGAACCCUUAAGGGUGCACCAUCGACCGAUCCUGAUGUCUUCGGAUGGAUUUGAGUAAGAGCAUAGCUGUUGGGACCCGAAAGAUGGUGAACUAUGCCUGAAUAGGGUGAAGCCAGAGGAAACUCUGGUGGAGGCUCGCAGCGGUUCUGACGUGCAAAUCGAUCGUCAAAUUUGGGCAUAGGGGCGAAAGACUAAUCGAACCAUCUAGUAGCUGGGUUCCUGCGA